UAGGGAAUCUUCGGCAAUGGGGGGAACCCUGACCGAGCAACGCCGCGUGAGUGAAGAAGGUUUUCGGAUCGUAAAGCUCUGUUGUUAAGGAAGAACGAGUGUGAGAAUGGAAAGUUCAUGCUGUGACGGUACUUAACCAGAAAGGGACGGCUAACUACGUGCCAGCAGCCGCGGUAAUACGUAGGUCCCGAGCGUUGUCCGGAUUUAUUGGGCGUAAAGCGAGCGCAGGCGGUUAGAAAAGUCUGAAGUGAAAGGCAGUGGCUCAACCAUUGUAGGCUUUGGAAACUGUUUAACUUGAGUGCAGAAGGGGAGAGUGGAAUUCCAGGUGUGGCGGUGAAAUGCGUAGAUAUAUGGCGGAACACCGGUGGCAAAAGCGGCUCUCUGGUCUGUAACUGACGCUGAGGCUCGAAAGCGUGGGGAGCGAACAGG
RNAcentral lists this ribosomal RNA (429 nucleotides) under Verrucomicrobiota bacterium. RNAcentral's name for it is "Verrucomicrobia bacterium partial 16S ribosomal RNA". It matches the Rfam family "Bacterial small subunit ribosomal RNA", at positions 355 to 776 of the family's 1533-position model. Lineage: Bacteria; Pseudomonadati; Verrucomicrobiota. The record is from RNAcentral.